This is a long non-coding RNA of Homo sapiens (human), 4264 nucleotides long. NCBI's taxonomy places the organism in Eukaryota, Metazoa, Chordata, Mammalia, Primates, Hominidae. The record is from Ensembl.
AGUCCAGAGAGGAGGUGUCUGCAGCUAGCCUGUGUGUCUUGGACUCAAAGAGUGUCAGGCAGGCUUCAAAGGCCAGAGGCAAGGCAGAUAAAACAGAUUUUUAAAAAUUGAAGUGAAAAGAAACAGAUUUUAUUUUGAGAAUUUAUACACUGAGAGUAGGCAGCACUGAUGUAAAGUGAAAAAGGAUUUUUUUAAUGUCAUGCCUUCAUUUGUACACCACCUACAGCUUCAAAAUCCUUUUAUAUGUAUCCAUCUAAUCCUUGAGGUGGGUAUGAGCCUCUUUUGGCGGUCGGCAAGGAUGGGAAAGAUGACAUGAUUUCACGACUCAUAAAGAAAGUGAUGGAGCUGUAGCUUGAAUUCUUUUACUUCAAAUCCACAAUGCCAUGCCUUGCUCCAGUGAAGGACGGACUGCUGUUCUGUCUCCUAAAACCCACACAGCUCGCCUGGAGCUUCAAAUGUGAGAACACAUUCCAGCUGCAGGAUCAGAGGACUUUUCCUACAGCCCAUAAGUGCCUGCAGCUCUAUCGGAUUUGCAAAUCUACAAAAGAGAGCACAUCCUAUUGUUCCCGGUUUUGAGUUUUUUUAAUAGUAUGUCUUGUAAAAUGCUGGUUGCUGGUGGACAGGGGUGUUUUACAGAUAGGUGUGACUCAGGAGGGGAAAUGGGUGGGCAGAGACAGCCACAAGGAAUUCCACACAUGAAGGAAAUGCUCCCACUUGUGUUUUCUAUUUGUGUUUUAAAUUUGGGGAGCGACUCACAGGCACUCAGCAAAAGUAACUAAUUAUAUUAACCUUAUCAGUAGUGAGGUUUCCUGGUCUCUCAUCAGACACUCAGCUCACUGGCUGGUAUUUAAUUGGGAGCCUGGUGGCCAGUGAAAACAGUGUGGGAUGAGUCACACUUUAACAAGUUUUUAUAGUACAGCAACCUUGCUGUAUAAUAGCCAGACAUUAUUAAAAUUCAGAUAUGGUACACUGACUUGUUUGUUUUCCUUAUUCACAUGAAACAGAUGCUCAGGACUCAUUUUACUUACACACAGUAAAUGAGGGUCAGCUGUGUUGAGGGAAGUGAGUACUUUGUUCUGGAAGGAUAGAUGUUGUAGCAAUUGUCUUGCUCUGAUUGUAUUUGAAAAGAAUGAAUGUUGUUAGUACAAUUUGGUAUUCUUCCAAUGCCUAGUUGGAGUUCAAGGGAUAUAAAACUGGGCGCUUGAGGAGUGGGAUGGAAAAGGAUGGAGAAGGAAGGUCAAAUAUGGCUUUGAAGGGGAUCAGCAGAAGCCAGAGGCCGCAGUGGUGAACACUCCUUGUGAAUGGCCCUUUGCACCCACGGCUUGGUGAACCCAGCAUGGACCGUGGAGAGAGGACCUGCCUAAAAACCAGAGACGGGGUUUGCCUCUCCGCAUCACCACUGGCUUGCUGCAUCAAGAAUCUGCCUUUCAGCUUCUUCACCUGAAACAAGGUGAUUGGGAUAGCUGGUUUUAUUUAUUUAUUUUUGAGGCCAUUCUAGCACUUUGUAAAGUCCAAGGGGGUGUGGUAUUGUAAUUCUUGGAAUAAUACAAUGAACAUCAGAUGCUUUGAAGUUUUCCGUUCGGUGGAUUCUGGGAUUCUUUUCUGAAUGAGUGAUUACUAGCCAACAGGAAUCUCAUGGUUCAACCUCAAACUCAAAAGUUAUUUCGGGGAUGGAAAAUGAGACAGCUCUUGGCCUGUUACUGGGCUUUGGUGGAAACUGAAAGUUUGACUAUGGAUCAUCAAGUCACCAUGCAACCUGAACUGCCUAUCAUGAACUGGGUGCUUUCUGACCCAUCUAGCCAUAAAGUGGGUCAUGCACAGCAGCAUUCCAUCAUCAAAUGGAAGUGGUAUAUACGUGAUUGGGCUUAAGCAGAUCCUGAAGGCCAAGUAAGUUACAUAAGGAAGUGGCUCAAAUGCCCAUGAUCUCCACUCCUGCCACCCUACCUUCUCUCCUCCAGCCUGCACCAAUGGCCUCAUAGGGAGUUCCCUAUGAUCAGUUGACAGAGGAAGAGAAGACUAGGGCCUGGUUCACAGAUGGUUCUGCACGAUAUGCAGGCACCACCUGAAAGUGGACAGCUGUGGCACUACAGUCCCUUUCUAGGAUAUCCCUGGAGGACAGCGUGAAAGGAAAUCUUCCCAGUGGGCAGAACUUCGAGCAGUACACCUUGUUGUGCACUUUGCAUGGAAGGAGAAAUGGCCAGAUGUGCAAUUACAUACUGACUUAUGGGCUGUAGCCAAUGGUUUGGCUGGAUGGUCAGGGACUUGGAAGUAGCAUGAUUGGAGAAUUGGUGACAAAGAAUGUUGGGGAAGAGGUAUGUGGAUGGACCUCUCUGAGUUGUUAAAAGCUGUGAAGAUAUUUGUAUCCUAUGUGAGUGCUCACUGACAGAUGACCUCUGCAGAGGAGGAUUUCAAUAAUCAAGUGGAUAGGAUGACCCAUUUUGUGGACACCACUCAGCCUCUUUCCCCAGCUACUCCUGUCAUCGCCCACUGGGCCCAUGAAUAAAGUGGCCAUGGUGGCAGGGGUGGAGGUUAUGCAUGGGCUUAGCAACAUGGACUUCCACUCACCAAGGCUGACCUGGCUACGGCCACUGCUGAGUGCCCAAUUUGCCAGCAGCAGAGACCAACACUGAGACUUUGAUAUGGCACCAUUCCUCGGGGUCAUCAGCCAGCUACCUGGUAGCAGGUUGAUUAUAUUGGACCUCUUCCAUCAUGGAAAGGGCAGAGGUUUGUCCUCACUGCAAUAAACACUUACUCCAGAUAUGGGUUUGCCUAUCCUGCAUGCAGUGCUUCUGCCAAGACUACCAUCCAUGGACUCACAGAACGCCUUAUCCACUGUCAUGGUAUUCCACGCAGCACUGCCUCUGAACAAGAAACUCACUUUACAGCUAAAGAAGUGUGGCAGUGAGUUCAUGCUCAUGGAAGUCACUUGUCUUACCAUGUUCCCCAUCAUCCUGAAGCAGCUGGAUUGAUAGAAUGGUGGAAUGGCCAUUUGAAGUUACAAUUACGAUCAAUUACAAUGCCAACUAGAUGAUAAUACUUUGCAUGGCUGCGGCAAAGUUCUCCCAAAGGUUGUGUAUACUCUGAAUCAGCGUCCAAUAUAUGGUACUGAAUCUGCCAUAGGCAGGAUUCACAGAUCCAGGAAUCAAGGGGUGGAAGUGGAAGUGGCACCACUCACCAACACCCCUAGUGAUUCGUUAGCAAAAUUUUUGCUUCCUGUUCCCUCUACAUUACGUUCUGCUGGCCUAAAGGUCUUAGUUCUAGAGGGAGGAAUGCUGCCACCAGGAGACAUGACAAUGCCAUUAAACUGGAAGUUAAGAUUGCCACCUGGACACUGUGGGCUCCUCCUACAUUUAAGUCAACAAGCUAAGAAGGGAGUUACAGCAUUGGCUGUGGUGAUUGACCUGGACUGUGAAGAUGAAAUCAGUCUACUAUUCCACAAUGGAGGGAAGGAAGAGUAUGUAUGGAAUACAGGAGAUCCAUUACGGUGUCUCUUAGUAUUACCAUGACCUGUGAUUAAGGUUAAUGGGAAACUACAACAGCCCAAUCUGGUCAGGACUACAAAUGACCCAGGCCCUUCAGGAAUGAAGGUUUAGUUCACUCCACCAGGAAAAAAGCUAUGACCUGCUGAGGUGCUUGCUGACAGCAAAGGGAAUACAGAAUGAGUAGUAGAAGAAGGUAGUCAUUAAUACCAGCUAUAACCAGGGGACCAGCUGCAGAAAUGAGGACUGUAAUUGUCAUGAGUAUUUCCUCCUUCUUUUGUUAAAAACAUGUUUGUGCAUGUAUACACUUGUACUAAGAAAACAUCUUCAUUUUAUUUCCUUUUUCCUUUAUCAUGUGACAUAAGAUUUAUUGACUUCACAUCAGCAUUUAAGUACUGUUAACUUUCUGUAAUAGUAUUUGGGUUGAGGAUUGGUGCAUUUCCGGUUGUACGAAGGAUAGUUGUAUUAUGUUAGGUGUAAUUAUGACCUUAUUAUUGUCUUUAUUUGAAGAUUAUGUGUGAUCUCAGGAGACGUGUAUGGGUUCAAGUUGACAAGGGGCAGACUUGUGAUGGUUAAUACUGAGUGGCAACUUGAUUGGAUUGAGGGAUGCAAAGCAUUGAUCUUGGGUGUGUCUGUGAGGGUGUUGCCAAAGGAGAUUAACAUUUGAGUCAGUGGGCUGAGGAAGGCAGACCUACCCUUAUUCUGGGUGGGCACCAUCUAAUCAGCUGCUAGCAAAUAUAAAGCAGGCAGAAAAACGUGAAAAGGCUACACUGGCCUAGCCUCCC